UCGAGGAUCUUCGGCAAUGGGCGCAAGCCUGACCGAGCGACGCCGCGUGGGCGAUGAAGGCCUUCGGGUUGUAAAGCCCUGUCGAGGGGGAGAAAAGGGUAAAACCUUGAUCUAUCCCUGGAGGAAGCACGGGCUAAGUUCGUGCCAGCAGCCGCGGUAAGACGAACCGUGCGAACGUUAUUCGGAAUCACUGGGCUUAAAGGGUGCGUAGGCUGGUUGCCAAGUCUGUGGUGAAAUCCUCCGGCUUAACCGGAGAACUGCCGUGGAUACUGGCGACCUCGAGUGGGGUAGGGGCUUGCGGAACUGUGCGUGGAGCGGUGAAAUGCGUUGAUAUGCACAGGAACUCCGGUGGCGAAGGCGGCGAGCUGGACCCUAACUGACGCUGAGGCACGAAAGCCAGGGGAGCGAACGG
RNAcentral lists this ribosomal RNA (412 nucleotides) under uncultured bacterium. Its description in RNAcentral is "bacterial SSU rRNA". It matches the Rfam family "Bacterial small subunit ribosomal RNA", at positions 355 to 775 of the family's 1533-position model. The record is from RNAcentral.